GACGAGCGCUGGCGGCGUGCUUAACACAUGCAAGUCGAACGGAAAGGCCCUGCUUUUGUGGGGUGCUCGAGUGGCGAACGGGUGAGUAACACGUGAGUAACCUGCCCUUGACUUUGGGAUAACUUCAGGAAACUGGGGCUAAUACCGGAUAGGAGCUCCUGCUGCAUGGUGGGGGUUGGAAAGUUUCGGCGGUUGGGGAUGGACUCGCGGCUUAUCAGCUUGUUGGUGGGGUAGUGGCUUACCAAGGCUUUGACGGGUAGCCGGCCUGAGAGGGUGACCGGCCACAUUGGGACUGAGAUACGGCCCAGACUCCUACGGGAGGCAGCAGUGGGGAAUAUUGCACAAUGGGCGGAAGCCCGAUGCAGCAACGCCGCGUGCGGGAUGACGGCCUUCGGGUUGUAAACCGCUUUCGCCUGUGACGAAGCGUGAGUGACGGUAAUGGGUAAAGAAGCACCGGCUAACUACGUG
RNAcentral lists this ribosomal RNA (468 nucleotides) under uncultured bacterium. RNAcentral describes it as "partial 16S ribosomal RNA". It matches the Rfam family "Bacterial small subunit ribosomal RNA", at positions 28 to 507 of the family's 1533-position model. The record is from RNAcentral.